Molecule: long non-coding RNA, 473 nt
Organism: Haplochromis burtoni (Burton's mouthbrooder)
Lineage: Eukaryota; Metazoa; Chordata; Actinopteri; Cichliformes; Cichlidae
Exons: 3
Source: RefSeq, a predicted model, not a curated record
AUCCCUUUUAAAGCGUUACCAUAUUUGACUGCAGCUCCUGCAGCAGCACACCUCCACAAACUCCACUCUCUCUCCUGUCAAAAUGCCAGACUUUGCCGACGCUGUGCCAGCACCAUGCCAGGUAAUCAAAGAGGACUCUGACAAAUGUGUCAGAGACAAGGGGAUGGAGACCUGUAAAGAUCUGAUGGAUGCCUUCCAGGCCUGUGUAAAAACCCUGUCUGAGGGGUCAUGAUGCACAGUGAGAUCCAUUUAAAUAAAAAAAAAACUUUACCUCAGGUUCUUCACUUUCCCAUCUUCUUAUUACGCUGGAAGAAACCAUCUGAAAACUGAAGAGGGGGGUGUUGCUUAUGAAUUUAGCUCCAUACUUCUACUUAUUCUGUUAUAAUGGUUGUAAUUGUUAUACUCUAAGACUAAUUAGCUUACUGUCGAUAACAAGUUUGUAUGAUACCUUACAAUAAACUUUUUUCAACAUA